This 388-nucleotide long non-coding RNA is filed under the name Ananas comosus (pineapple). Its description in RNAcentral is "long non-coding RNA (ACOM_LNC037027)". The record is from RNAcentral. Lineage: Eukaryota; Viridiplantae; Streptophyta; Magnoliopsida; Poales; Bromeliaceae.
GUUUAGUUUUCCUUUCUUUCACUAAUGGCUAUUGCUUACCCUCGUGUAAGCCGUUUGUGUAUGUUUCCGCUAGUGCAUUUCUUGUUUGAAUUUGUACAUGUGAUGAGCCUUGGGCGGAUAGGGGAAACUCUGUCCGUUCGGCGUCUGUUUGACGUGCUCGGGCCGGCCCAAAUCGGUAUUGAUUCCCGGGGCGUGACAGAUAUCGUGGUAUCAGAGCCAAGAGUGAAAGAAUAGGAAUGGACCUAGAGACCUAUAGGAUUGGAAGGCCUUAAGGAUCUAGGGAACGUGAGUGACGUGGGAUCAAAGUUAGCGAAAGCAUGUGAUUGGGUUAAGUAAGGACGUCUCUAAUGUGAUUAGAGGCUAAGUUUAAUUUUCAUUUAUCCUCUAC